This 143-nucleotide small RNA is filed under the name Arabidopsis thaliana (thale cress). Its description in RNAcentral is "ATSL098170". Lineage: Eukaryota; Viridiplantae; Streptophyta; Magnoliopsida; Brassicales; Brassicaceae. The record is from RNAcentral.
AAAAAAUCAUAUUUAUAAUGUCUUUAUUAUAAACGCUUAACCGUCUAAAAUUAUCUAUGUCCUAACUAAGCGUUCUAGGCGCUAGGCAUUGGAUCACUGUCCGUUUAACGCCUAACGUUUUCUUGAAUACUAUUAAUUAAAGU